This 490-nucleotide ribosomal RNA is filed under the name uncultured bacterium. RNAcentral's name for it is "partial 16S ribosomal RNA". It matches the Rfam family "Bacterial small subunit ribosomal RNA", at positions 28 to 507 of the family's 1533-position model. The record is from RNAcentral.
GAUGAACGCUAGCGAUAGGCUUAACACAUGCAAGUCGAGGGGCAGCAUGGUCUUAGCUUGCUAAGGCUGAUGGCGACCGGCGCACGGGUGCGUAACGCGUAUGCAACUUGCCUCACAGAGGGGGAUAACCCGUCGAAAGACGGACUAAUACCGCGUACACUCUAUGUUGGGCAUCCAAUGUAGAGGAAAUGAAAUUCGCUGUGAGAUAGGCAUGCGUCCCAUUAGCUAGUUGGUGAGGUAACGGCUCACCAAGGCGACGAUGGGUAGGGGAACUGAGAGGUUGAACCCCCACACUGGUACUGAGACACGGACCAGACUCCUACGGGAGGCAGCAGUGAGGAAUAUGGGUCAAUGGGCGAGAGCCUGAACCAGCCAAGUCGCGUGAAGGAUGACUGUCUUAUGGAUUGUAAACUUCUUUUAUACGGGAAUAACAAGAGUCACGUGUGGCUCCCUGCAUGUACCGGAUGAAUAAGCAUCGGCUAACUCCGUG